UACGGGAGGCAGCAGUGGGGAAUAUUGCACAAUGGGCGCAAGCCUGAUGCAGCCAUGCCGCGUGUAUGAAGAAGGCCUUCGGGUUGUAAAGUACUUUUCAGUCGUGAGGAAGGUGUUAAGGUUAAUAACCUUAGCAAUUGACGUUAGCGACAGAAGAAGCACCGGCUAACUCCGUGCCAGCAGCCGCGGUAAUACGGAGGGUGCGAGCGUUAAUCGGAAUUACUGGGCGUAAAGGGCACGCAGGCGGUUAAUUAAGUUGGAUGUGAAAUCCCCGGGCUUAACCUGGGAAUGGCAUUCAAGACUGGUUAGCUAGAGUCUUGUAGAGGGGGUAGAAUUCCAUGUGUAGCGGUGAAAUGCGUAGAGAUGUGGAGGAAUACCGGUGGCGAAGGCGGCCCCUGGACAAAGGACUGACGCUCAUGUGCG
This 423-nucleotide ribosomal RNA is filed under the name uncultured bacterium. RNAcentral describes it as "bacterial SSU rRNA". It matches the Rfam family "Bacterial small subunit ribosomal RNA", at positions 340 to 755 of the family's 1533-position model. The record is from RNAcentral.